RNAcentral lists this ribosomal RNA (660 nucleotides) under uncultured fungus. RNAcentral describes it as "SSU rRNA". It matches the Rfam family "Eukaryotic small subunit ribosomal RNA", at positions 260 to 934 of the family's 1831-position model. Lineage: Eukaryota; Fungi. The record is from RNAcentral.
ACGAAUCGCAUGGCCUUGUGCCGGCGAUGGUUCAUUCAAAUUUCUGCCCUAUCAACUUUCGAUUGUAAGAUAGAGGCUUACAAUGGUCUUAACGGGUAACGGGGAAUUAGGGUUCUAUUCCGGAGAGGGAGCCUGAGAAACGGUACACAUCCAAGGAAGGCAGCAGGCGCGCAAAUUAUCCAAUGCUAAUUCAGCGAGGUAGUGACAAUAAAUACUGAUACGGGGCUCUUUCGGGUCUCGUAAUUGGAAUGAGUACAAUCUAAAUCCCUUAACGAGGAACAAUUGGAGGGCAAGUCUGGUGCCAGCAGCCGCGGUAAUUCCAGCUCCAAUAGCGUAUAUUAAAGUUGUUGCCGUUAAAAAGCUCGUAGUUGAACCUUGGACCUGGCUGAUCUGUCCUCCUAAUCGAGCGCACGGAUUCGGUCGGGUCUUUCCUUCUGGGGAGCCCUAUGCCCUUCACUGGGUGUAGUGGGGAACCAGGACUUUUACCUUGAAAAAAUUAGAGUGUUCAAAGCAGGCCUUUGCUCGAACACAUUAGCAUGGAAUAAUAGAAUAGGACAUCGGUUCUAUUUUGUUGGUUUCUAGGACCGUGUAAUGAUUAAUAGGGAUAGUCGGGGCGUCAGUAUUCACUUGUCAGAGGUGAAUCUUGGUUAUUGAGAUAAC